RNAcentral lists this ribosomal RNA (468 nucleotides) under uncultured bacterium. RNAcentral's name for it is "partial 16S ribosomal RNA". It matches the Rfam family "Bacterial small subunit ribosomal RNA", at positions 28 to 507 of the family's 1533-position model. The record is from RNAcentral.
GACGAACGCUGGCGGCGUGCUUAACACAUGCAAGUCGAACGGAAAGGCCCUGCUUUUGUGGGGUGCUCGAGUGGCGAACGGGUGAGUAACACGUGAGUAACCUGCCCUUGACUUUGGGAUAACUUCAGGUAACUGGGGCUAAUAUAGGAUAGGAGCUCCUGCUGCAUGGUGGGGGUUGGAAAGUUUCGGCGGUUGGGGAUGGACUCGCGGCUUAUCAGCUUGUUGGUGGGGUAGUGGCUUACCAAGGCUUUGACGGGUGGCCGGCCUGAGAGGGUGACCGGCCUCAUUGGGACUGAGAUACGGCCCGGACUCCUACGGGAGGCAGCAGUGGGGAAGAUUGCACAAUGGGCGGAAGCCUAAUGCAGCAACGCCGCGUUCGGGAUGACGGCCUUCGGGUUGUAAACCGCUUUCGCCUGUGACGAAGCGUGAGUGACGGUAAUGGGUAAAGAAGCACCGGCUAACUACGUG